RNAcentral lists this ribosomal RNA (451 nucleotides) under uncultured bacterium. Its description in RNAcentral is "bacterial SSU rRNA". It matches the Rfam family "Bacterial small subunit ribosomal RNA", at positions 340 to 783 of the family's 1533-position model. The record is from RNAcentral.
UACGGAAGGCAGCAGUGGGGAAUAUUGCACAAUGGGCGCAAGCCUGAUGCAGCCAUGCCGCGUGUAUGAAAAAGGCCUUCGGGUUGUAAAGUACUUUCAGUCGUGAGGAAGGUGUUAAGGUUAAUAACCUUAGCAAUUGACGUUAGCGACAGAAGAAGCACCGGCUAACUCCGUGCCAGCAGCCGCGGUAAUACGGAGGGUGCGAGCGUUAAUCGGAAUUACUGGGCGUAAAGGGCACGCAGGCGGUUAAUUAAGUUGGAUGUGAAAUCCCCGGGCUUAACCUGGGAAUGGCAUUCAAGACUGGUUAGCUAGAGUCUUGUAGAGGGGGUAGAAUUCCAUGUGUAGCGGUGAAAUGCGUAGAGAUGUGGAGGAAUACCGGUGGCGAAGGCGGCCCCUGGACAAAGACUGACGCUCAUGUGCGAAAGCGUGGGGAGCAAACAGGGAUUUAGAU